This 2662-nucleotide ribosomal RNA is filed under the name marine metagenome. RNAcentral describes it as "eukaryotic LSU rRNA". The stretch from base 330 to 2662 matches the Rfam family "Eukaryotic large subunit ribosomal RNA", at positions 1 to 2355 of the family's 3401-position model. The record is from RNAcentral.
AUUUUCAACGAUGGAUAUCUUGGUUCCCAUGACGAUGAAGAACGCAGCGAAAUGCGAUACGCAAUGCGAAUUGCAGAAUUCCUUGAAUCAUCAGAUUUUCGAACGCAACCCGCACCAAGCCUGAGACUCCGGUCUCUAGCAUUGGUAUGUUUGUUUCAGUAUCUAGAAUAUCAUAAAUCUCAAUAUGAUUGACAAAACUUACUUCGGUAAACGGCGUCUUUCAUCAAGUUAGAAUAGAUUCUUAUAUCUGACCAAUGAAGCAGUCACAUUUAUGUGAUCUCAUUGUGAAAGAAGUAAUGAGUUUAUAGAUCACAAAAUUUCUUCCUUUUACAUCUGAAAUCAAGCAAGAUAACCCGCUGAACUUAAGCAUAUCAUUAAGCGGAGGAAAAGAAAACAACAGUGAUUACCUUAGUAGUGGCGAACGAACCGGUAAUAGUCCAAUUUUAAAUCCGGAAACGGAAUUGUAAUCUAAAUAUUUAUUGAGAAACAACGGCGCUAGCAUAAAUCUGUUUGAACGCAGUACCAGAGAGGGUAAUAGUCCCGUAUGCAGCUAUCCGCUAGUCUAUCAAUAAUGUCGUAGAGUCGGGUUGCUCGGGAAUGCAGCCUUAAAUGGGAGGUAGACUUCUCCUAAGACUAAAUAUUAAUGGGAAACCGAUAGCAUACAAGUACUGUGAAGGAAAGAUGAAAAGAACUUUGAAAAGAGGGUGAAAAGACUUGAAAUCGUUGAGAAGGAAGCGUAUGAAGAGUAUUAUUUGCCGUUGAGUCGCUGUUCUGGGGGACUUGUUCUUAUUAGUAGUCACUUCGGGGCUUGCUAGUGGAGUAACAUAAUCCUAACUCAGCUGCUUAGCUGUAAUAUGCAAGAUGAGUUGUGCGUUCUAGUAAUUAUGUUUUGAGAAGUUACCCUCACGGGCGGCUCUUAACAACAACUGGUUCCACGACUGAGGGGCUUUCUAAGCGAUCUUGUAAAAAUGGCUUCAUAUGACCCGUCUUGAAACACGGACCAAGGAGUAUAACAUAUAUGCGAGCUUUCGAGUGGCAAACUCAUAGGCGAAAUGAAAGUAAGUAUAAGAUGUCAUUGGAUAAAACCAUGCAGCAUCGACCCGGCAUGAUCUUUUGUAAAGCACGGAGUACGAGUAUAUCUGUUAUGACCCGAAAGAUGGUGAACUAUGCUUGAGUAGGGUGAAGUCUGGGGAAACUCAGAUGGAAGCUCGUAGCGAUACUGACGUGCAAAUCGUUCGUCAAACUUGAGUAUAGGGGCGAAAGACUAAUCGAACCAUCUAGUAGCUGGUUCCCUCCGAAGUUUCUCUCAGGAUAGCUAGAACAUACUAGCAGUUUUAUCAGGUAAAGCGAAUGAUUAGAGGACUGUGGGUGAUCUUCACCUACACCUAUUCUCAAACUUUAAAUUGGUAAGAAGUUUGUUGAUUUCUUAAGUGAUCACAAACGUGGAAUGCAUUGUUCUAAGUGGGCCAUUUUUGGUAAGCAGAACUGGCGAUGAGGGUUGAACCUAACGUUGAGUUAAGGUGCCAAAAUAUACACUCAUCAGAUCCUAUAAAAGGUGUUGAUUCAUACAGACAGCAGGACGGUUGCCCUAGAAGUCGGAAUCCGCCAAGGAGUGUGUAACAACUCACCUGCAUAAUGAAUUAGCCCUGAAAAUGGAUGGCGCUAAAGUGUAUUACCGAUACUCAACCAUUAUUGCAAAUAUGAUGCAUUAAUGUGUAGGAGGGCGUGUGCGUGGUGCUGAAGGCUUGGGAGUGAUCCUGGCUUGAACCUCGUGCAGUGCAGAUCUUGGUGGUAGUAGCAAAUAUUCAAAUGAGAACUUUGAAGACCGAAGUGGAGAAGGGUUCCGUGAGAACAGCAAUUGGUCACGGGUUACUCGAUCCUAAGACAUAGGGUAGUCCUUUAUCCAUGAAGCAUUGCUUCGGUGUCGAAAGGGAAAGAGGUUAAUAUUCCUCUAGCUGGAUGUCGGUAUUGUGGUAACACUAACAAAGUCAGAGACGCCGGUAAGAACCCCUGGGAGAGUUAUCUUUUCUUUUUAACUACUCUCUGACCGUGGAAUUGGAUUAUCCAGAGAGACGGUUGUAAGGUAGGCAGAGCACUCAAAUCUAUUGAGUGUUAGGUGCGUUCUUGACGGCCCUUGAAAAUCUGACGGCUGAGCUACUUGACACCAGAUCGUACCCAUAACCGCAUCAGGUCUCCAAGGUUAACAGCCUCUGGUCGAUAGAAUAAUGUAGAUAAGGGAAUUCGGCAAAUUAGAUCCGUAUCUUCGGGAAAAGGAUUGGCUGUGAGGAUUGGUCCAUACGGCGCGAGAGGUUGAACUAAGUCUUAUCUUUGAGGACUGAUCGGAGCAAUUCGAGUGGACCCUUAGUAUAACGAUUGAGCGAUCCACUUGUUUGACGUGGGAAAAAAUCAAUUAACUCACAACUGAAACGGACAAGGGGAAUCUGACUGUUUAAUAGAAACAUAGCAUUGUGAUGGCCGUAAACGGUGUUGACACAAUGUGAUUUCUGCCCAGUGCUCUGAAUGUUAAAGUGAAGAAAUGAAGCCAAGCGCGGGUAAACGGCGGGAGUAACUAUGACUCUCUUAAGGUAGCCAAAUGCCUCGUCAUCUAAUUAGUGACGCGCAUGAAUGGAUUAACGAGAUUCCUACUGUCCCUAUCUACUAU